RNAcentral lists this ribosomal RNA (289 nucleotides) under uncultured Flavobacterium sp. Its description in RNAcentral is "partial 16S ribosomal RNA". The record is from RNAcentral. Lineage: Bacteria; Pseudomonadati; Bacteroidota; Flavobacteriia; Flavobacteriales; Flavobacteriaceae.
CUACAGGGGUAUCUAAUCCUGUUCGCUCCCCACGCUUUCGUCCAUCAGCGUCAAUAUAUGGUUAGUAACCUGCCUUCGCAAUUGGUAUUCCAUGUAAUCUCUAAGCAUUUCACCGCUACACUACAUAUUCUAGUUACUUCACCAUAAUUCAAGCCCUGCAGUAUCAAUGGCAGUUUCCCCGUUGAGCGGGGAGAUUUCACCACUGACUUACAAGGCCGCCUACGGACCCUUUAAACCCAAUGAUUCCGGAUAACGCUUGGAUCCUCCGUAUUACCGCGGCGGCUGGCAC